Mytilus californianus (California mussel) is the source of this 3902-nucleotide long non-coding RNA. RefSeq lists it as uncharacterized. The transcript has 2 exons. NCBI's taxonomy places the organism in Eukaryota, Metazoa, Mollusca, Bivalvia, Mytilida, Mytilidae. The record is from RefSeq and is a predicted model, not a curated record.
AUUUUUAUACGACCGCAAAAAAAUUUUGUGGUCGUAUAUUGGUAUGACGUUGGCGUCGUCGUCGUCGUCCGGCGUCGUCUUCCGAAGACACAUUGGUUUUCGCACUCUAACUUUAGUUUAAGUGAAUGGAUCUUUUUGAAAUUUGACCAUAAGGUUAAAUACCACAAAAGGAAGGUUGGGAUUGAUUUUGGGGGUUAUGGUACCAACAGUUAAGGAAUUAGGGGCCAAAAAGGGGCCAAAAAUAAGCAUUUUCUAGUUUCCAGACAAUAACUGUGGAACGAUGUAUGGAUCUCUCUGAAAUUAUACUACAAGUUUCCAUACCACAAAGGGAUGGUUAGGAUUUGCUUUGGGGGGUUAUGGCUCAAACCGUUUAGGAAUUAGGGGCAAAAAAGGGGGAAAACCAAGGUUGUCCUGGUUAAUGGACAAAUACUUUAGUACAAAACAUAAUUUAAAGCAGUGUAAGGGAGAUAAAUCAAAUACAUCAUUGAAAUUAUCUCCCUUACACUGCUUUUAAAUUAUGUAUAAAGUAAUGGUUAAUGAACAAUAAAGAUAAUUUAAAACAGUGUAAGGGAGGUAAUCCAAAUACAACGUUUUGGUUACUUCCCUUACACUGCUUUUAAAUUAUGUUUAAAGAAAUGCAUAUUUAUAAAGGAAGACCAGUAAAAAUAUCUGCAAAUGUUGCAUCUUUUUUUUUUACAAAAAAAUCCAUAUGAAAGAUCUGACACUAAAUUUUAAAUUCUAUUAUAAAAUAGAUUAAGUUAGCACUAUGGUAAAUUUAAAUGGGUAAUUAUGGUUGCCAACUCCAUUGGAAAUUUGAAUUGAGAUUAUGACCAUAUCUUGAGGGAAAGAAUUUUUUGGGGGAAAAAAGGGGGGGGGAUAAAAAGAAAUUGUGGGGGGUCAAUUUUUUCUCAUUUCGGAUUUCAGAAUUUAAAAAGAAUUAUUCUUCAGAUAUUAUUUUUUUUUCAAAUUUCAAAUAUUGAAAAAUUUCAAGAAGUAAUCUUUAAUUGCACAGUAUGGCGCAUUAGAUUUGUAAAAUCUUUGAUCACAUUUAUUUAUUUGUUAUGCCGAAUCUAACGGUGUAUUUAGAUUUUUAAUUUUGGGUCCAGUUUUCAAAUUGGUCUACAUUAAGGUCCAAAGGGUCCAAAAUUAAACUUUGUUUGAUUUUAGCAAAAAUUGAAUAUAUGAGGUUCUUUGAUAUGCUGAAUCUAAACAUGUGUUUAGAUUUUUGAUUUUUGGCCCAGUUUUCAAGUUGGUCCAAAUUGGGGUCCAAAAUUAAACUCUGUUUGAUUUCAACAAAAAUUGAAUAUAUGGGGUUCUUUGAUAUGCUGAAUCUAACCAUGUAUUUAGAUUUUUUAUUUGUGGACCCCGUAAUCAAAUUGGUUCAUAUUGAGGUCAAAAGGGUCCAAAAUUAAACUUUGUUUGAUUUCAUCUAAAAUUGAAUUAUUGGGAUUCUUUGAUAUUCCAAAUCUAACCGUGUAUUUAGAUUUUUAAUUUUGGGUCCUGUUUUUUAAAUUGGUCUACAUUAAGGUCCAAAGGGUCCAAAAUUAAACUUAGUUUGAUUUUAACAAAAAUUGAAUUCUUGGGGUUCUUUGAUAUGCUGAAUCUAAGCAUGUGUUUAGAUUUUUAUACGACCGCAAAAAAAUUUUUGUGGUCGUAUAUUGGUAUGACGUUGGCGUCGUCGUCGUCGUCGUCCGGCGUCGUCGUCGUCGUCCGGCGUCGUCCUAAGACACAUUGGUUUUCGCACUCUAACUUUAGUUUAAGUGAAUGGAUCUUUAUGAAAUUUUACCACAAGGUUCAAUACCACAAAAGGAAGGUUGGGAUUGAUUUUGGGGGUUAUGGUAAUAACAGUAAAGGAAUUAGGGGCCAAAAAGGGGCCAAAAAUUAGCAUUUUUGUAACUUCCAGACAUAACUUGUGUGUUAGUGUAUGGAUAUCUCUGACAUUGUACCACAAGGUUCCAUAUCACAAAGGGAAUGCUGGGAUUGAUUUUGGGGGUAAUUGCCUCCAUAUUUUAGGAAUUAGGGGCCAAAAAGGGGCGAAAAACAAGCAUUUUUCUAGUUUCAUGACAAUAACUUGUGUGUAAGUGUAUGGAUCUUUAUGAAAUUGUACUACAAGGUUCCAUAUCACAAAGGGAAAGCUGGAAUUGAGUUUGGGGGUAAUUGCCCAAAAAGUUUAGGAAUAAGGGGCCAAAAAUGGGCCAAAAAUAAGCAUUUUUCUAGUUUCCAGACAAUAACUUGUGUUCAAAUGUAUGGAUCUCUCUGAAAUUGUACUGCAAGGUACCAUACCUCAUAGGGAAGGCUGGGAUUGAUUUUUGGGGGUAAUUCCCUCAAAAUUUUAGUAAUUAGGGGCCAUAAAAGGGCAAAAAACAAGCAUUUUUCUAGUUUCAGGACAAUAACUUGUGUGUAAGUGUAUGGAUCUUUAUGAAAUUGUACUGCAAGGUUCCAUAUCACAAAGGGAAAGCUAGGUUUGAGUUUGGGGGUAAUUGCCCUAAACGUUUAGGAAUUUGGGGCCAAAAAGGGGCCAAAAAACAAGCAUUUUUCUAGUUUCAAGACAAUAACUUGUGUUCAAGUGUAUGGAUCUCUCUGAAAUUGUACUGCAAGGUACCAUACCACAAAGGGAAAGCUGGGAUUGAGUUUGGGCCAAUGGGGUGAUGAAUCAUAAGGGGGUUCAAAAAAAUUUGGGGGAUUUUUUUUCUUUUUUUCAUACAUGUAAACCUCCCGACGGGAGUACAAUAAUCCCGUUUUCAGGGGUCUCCUCCCGACCUCGCGUUGAAGAGAAAAAAAUCCUGUGAAUGAAAUCUGCCCAACAUAUCAUCUCAGACAUCUGGUGUAACUGACAUCACCUGAAGUUAUAUUUUACCUGUAAAUCAAUUAACAUGCAUAAUUAUAUGGCUUCACUUGUCAGCUUGGGUGUCAAACAUACUGGUAAUCAACGAUUUUUACCUCAGGCUAACUGCCGUUGUGUAAUAAAAACUUUGUGUAUUUAUUGGGUUACUUCCCCUGAUUUAUCCUGUUUUAAGUUACUUUCCUUUAAAUAAUGUAAAUUUUUAAAAGAAUAUAAAUAAAAUAUAAAUUGAACAAAUAAUCAUAAAAGGAUGGUAAUUAAAUGAUUUUAAAUGUCUUAGGACAAAUCAAAAAAUAAUAAUUUGAAAAUUAUUUGAGGGUUCUAUACUUUCUUUCAAGGCUUAAAUUGAAUUCAUAUAAUAACUAUGACCCAAGUUUUAAAUUUAAAUGAGUUUCUGAUUAUUCAAAUAAAAUCUAACUGCAAAUGCAGAUAGGUAAACAAAUGAUCUGAUUGCAAUGUUUGUCCUAUAGAAUAAUGAUAUAAAAGAUAUGAAUUAAAAAAUUUAAAGAACAUAUUAAAAAAAAAGAAUCUUAGAUUGAACAUGUAGAAUAUUAAGAUAAAGAAACUUUAUAAGUACAAGGGUACUAUAAACAUAAUACAUAAUACAUUCGGAUUGAAAGUUGAAGAAAAAACACUUUAAAAGACAAUUUUUACAGCACACGGUUACAUUUACGACAAACUUUAUGUCGAUUAAAAACCUCCUGAUCUGAGUUCUAAUCUCCUGACCAAAAUUUUCCAAUCUCCUGAUCUGAGUUUCACAGUCCAUCACAUGUAUGUUUUUUUCUUUAAAAUUUUCCAUUUUAAAUUGGUUAUUUCUGAUGUAUAUAUAAAAGCAAAUAAUAACGAUAUGGUUUGAAUAGGUAAAUUAAAAAAUUUUAAGUUCUUAGACCACUUUCAUUCUGUGUGAGAAACCUAUGCUGUGUCAAAUAUUUAAUUACAAUCCAAAUUCAGUGCUGUAUCAAGCUUGAAUGUUGUGUCCAUACUUGCCCCAACUGUUCAGGGUUCGACCUCUGCGGUCGUAUCAAGCUGCGCCCCAGCGGAGCAUUUUAUUCCAAAUUAA